GCUAAAACCUCAGCCCUACCACAACCAAUGCAACAAUCAAAAUUAUCACACUAAAUAAAACAUUCUUACCAUUUAGUAAAGGCGAUCAAAAAAUGUCUAGGCGCUGUAACAACAGUACCGCAAGGGAAAAGUGAAAUAAAAAUGAAAUAAACUCUAAGCACCACAAAGCAGAGCCACCUCUCGUACCUUUUGCAUCAUGGUCUAGCCAGUUCAACCAAGCAAAACGAAUUUAAGUUUGACCCCCCGAAACCAGGUGAGCUACUUCAAAACAGCCUAUUAGGGCCAACCCAUCUCUGUUGCAAAAGAGUGGGAAGAUUUUCAAGUAGAGGUGACAGACCUACCGAGCCUGGAGAUAGCUGGUUAUUCAGAAAAAGGAUAUAAGUCCUACCUUAAGCUUCAUUUAACACAAAAUACUCUCUCAAGCUUAAGAGCUAUUCAAAUAAGGUACAGCCUAUUUGAAACAGGAAACAACCUAAAAUACUGGGUAAUUACCACAAGCACGUGAUCAAGUGGACCUAAAAGCAGCCAACUUCCAAAAAGCGUUAAAGCUUCGUCACUUAGCCAAUCAAUCCUACAAACAAUACAAAACCCAAACCCCAUACUGAAUGACUCUAUUACUAUAUAGAAAACAUCAUGCUAGAACUAGUAACAAGAAGAAGACCUUCUCCUACAUGCAAGCGUAAGCCGAUAAAGAACAACUCACCGGCACUUAACGUCAUUGACCCAAAAGCAACCACCCCCACAAGAAAACCCUGCUUCCACCAACGUUAACCUUACACCAGCGCAUUCCAGGAAAGAUUAAAAAAAGAGGAAGGAACUCGGCAAAUCCUUAACCCCGCCUGUUUACCAAAAACAUCGCCUCCUGCAUAUAUAGGAGGUCUAGCCUGCCCAGUGACAAAGUUAAACGGCCGCGGUACCCUAACCGUGCGAAGGUAGCGCAAUCACUUGUUCUUUAAAUGAGGACUAGUAUGAAUGGCAUCACGAGGGUUAAACUGUCUCCCCCUUUUAAUCAGUGAAACUGAUCUCCCCGUGAAGAAGCGGGGAUAUUUAUAUAAGACGAGAAGACCCCAUGGAGCUUUAAACUUAACACUACCUGCCAGCCCACAUAUCUAAUCAAACAGACAGAGCUAGAAGUUAGUUUUCGGUUGGGGUGACCGCGGAGUAAAACAAAACCUCCACGAUGAAUGACUUCCUCUAAUCAAAGAGCUACAACUCGAAGAAUCAACAAACUGACAUAAAUUGACCCAAUAUUACUUUGAUCAACGAACCAAGUUACCCUGGGGAUAACAGCGCAAUCCAUUUCAAGAGCUCCUAUCGACAAAUGGGUUUACGACCUCGAUGUUGGAUCAGGGUAUCCUAGUGGUGCAGCCGCUACUAAAGGUUCGUUUGUUCAACGAUUAAAACCCU
Molecule: ribosomal RNA, 1407 nt
Filed under: Myersiella microps (Rio elongated frog)
Lineage: Eukaryota; Metazoa; Chordata; Amphibia; Anura; Microhylidae
Description: partial 16S ribosomal RNA
Rfam family: Bacterial large subunit ribosomal RNA
Source: RNAcentral